Molecule: ribosomal RNA, 220 nt
Filed under: Hemidactylus brookii
Lineage: Eukaryota; Metazoa; Chordata; Lepidosauria; Squamata; Gekkonidae
Description: partial 16S ribosomal RNA
Rfam family: Archaeal large subunit ribosomal RNA
Source: RNAcentral
ACCGUUAAGUAUUAAGGUCCUGCCUGCCCAGUGAAUAAUCAUUUUAACGGCCGCGGUAUCCUAACCGUGCAAAGGUAGCAUAAUCACUUGUCCCCUAAUUAGGGACCCGUAUGAACGGCCAACCGAGGGCAAGCCUGUCUCCUACAGCCAAUCAAUGAAACUGAUCUUCUAGUACAAAAGCUAGAAUAGACACAUAAGACGAGAAGACCCUAUGGAGACA